This 255-nucleotide unclassified non-coding RNA is filed under the name plant metagenome. RNAcentral describes it as "partial contains small subunit ribosomal RNA, internal transcribed spacer 1, and 5.8S ribosomal RNA". The record is from RNAcentral.
UUUCCGUAGGUGAACCUGCGGAAGGAUCAUUACUGAGUGAGGGCCCCUCGGGGUCCAACCUCCCACCCGUGUUUAACGAACCUUGUUGCCUCGGUGGGUCCGUCUUACGACCGCCGGGGGAUCGCCGCGAGGCGCCCCCUGGCCAGCGCCCACCGAUAGCCCAACCUUUAAAACCCUUUGUGAAUCGUGUCUUAUGUCUAAAUUUAUGAUUAAACAAUCAAAACAAAACUUUCAACAACGGAUCUCUUGGUUCUG